Molecule: ribosomal RNA, 794 nt
Filed under: uncultured bacterium
Lineage: Bacteria
Description: bacterial SSU rRNA
Rfam family: Bacterial small subunit ribosomal RNA
Source: RNAcentral
GAGUUUGAUCCUGGCUCAGAUUGAACGCUGGCGGAAUGCUUUACACAUGCAAGUCGAACGGCAGCACGGGAGCUUGCUCCUGGUGGCGAGUGGCGAACGGGUGAGUAAUGCGUCGGAACGUACCGAGUAAUGGGGGAUAACGCAGCGAAAGCUGUGCUAAUACCGCAUACGCCCUGAGGGGGAAAGUGGGGGAUCGCAAGACCUCACGUUAUUCGAGCGGCCGACGUCUGAUUAGCUAGUUGGUGGGGUAAUGGCCUACCAAGGCGACGAUCAGUAGCGGGUCUGAGAGGAUGAUCCGCCACACUGGAACUGAGACACGGUCCAGACUCCUACGGGAGGCAGCAGUGGGGAAUUUUGGACAAUGGGGGCAACCCUGAUCCAGCCAUUCCGCGUGAGUGAAGAAGGCCUUCGGGUUGUAAAGCUCUUUCAGCGGGAACGAAACGGUACGCUCUAACAUAGCGUGCUAAUGACGGUACCCGCAGAAGAAGCACCGGCUAACUACGUGCCAGCAGCCGCGGUAAUACGUAGGGUGCGAGCGUUAAUCGGAAUUACUGGGCGUAAAGCGUGCGCAGGCGGACUGUUAAGCAAGAUGUGAAAUCCCCGGGCUUAACCUGGGAAUGGCAUUUUGAACUGGCAGUCUAGAGUGUGUCAGAGGGGGGUGGAAUUCCACGUGUAGCAGUGAAAUGCGUAGAUAUGUGGAGGAACACCAAUGGCGAAGGCAGCCCCCUGGGAUAACACUGACGCUCAUGUACGAAAACGUGGGUAGCAAACAGGAUUAGAUACCCUGGUAGUCG